Molecule: long non-coding RNA, 271 nt
Filed under: Lathyrus oleraceus (garden pea)
Lineage: Eukaryota; Viridiplantae; Streptophyta; Magnoliopsida; Fabales; Fabaceae
Description: Pisum sativum (pea) long non-coding RNA (PSAT_LNC016147)
Source: RNAcentral
CACCCUUUUCUUUUUAAUUUCUUUUUAAUUUCUUUUUUAUUAUUGAUUUCUUUUAGCCAAACAUUUUGGUGAAUAUAUUUCAUCAAAUAUAUUUUUAUUAUUACCAUUAAUUAAUUAUUUUCAUAAUUUUAAUUAGACCUUUUUGCCUUUAUAUUUGAUUAUGGUUGAUGAUAAUCUAUUGUUUAUUGGUAAUUGGUCCUAGAUUUGAUUAAAUCUUCAACACUUCAAACAUGUUGAUGAGUGAUCAAUGGGUUAUUCUUGAAACUUUGAG